GGCGGUUUGAUAANUCUGAAGUUAAAGGCUGUGGCUCAACCAUAGUUCGCUUUGGAAACUGUCAAACUUGAGUGCAGAAGGGGAGAGUGGAAUUCCAUGUGUAGCGGUGAAAUGCGUAGAUAUAUGGAGGAACACCGGUGGCGAAAGCGGCUCUCUGGUCUGUAACUGACGCUGAGGCUCGAAAGCGUGGGGAGCGAACAGGAUUAGAUACCCUGGUAGUCCACGCCGUAAACGAUGAGUGCUAGGUGUUGGGUCCUUUCCGGGAUUCAGUGCCGCAGCUAACGCAUUAAGCACUCCGCCUGGGGAGUACGACCGCAAGGUUGAAACUCAAAGGAAUUGACGGGGGCCCGCACAAGCGGUGGAGCAUGUGGUUUAAUUCGAAGCAACGCGAAGAACCUUACCAGGUCUUGACAUCCCGAUGCUAUUUCUAGAGAUAGGAAGUUACUUCGGUACAUCGGUGACAGGUGGUGCAUGGUUGUCGUCAGCUCGUGUCGUGAGAUGUUGGGUUAAGUCCCGCAACAAGCGCAACCCCUAUUGUUAGUUGCCAUCAUUCAGUUGGGCACUCUAGCGAGACUGCCGGUAAUAAACCGGAGGAAGGUGGGGAUGACGUCAAAUCAUCAUGCCCCUUAUGACCUGGGCUACACACGUGCUACAAUGGUUGGUACAACGAGUUGCGAGUCGGUGACGACGAGCUAAUCUCUUAAAGCCAAUCUCAGUUCGGAUUGUAGGCUGCAACUCGCCUACAUGAAGUCGGAAUCGCUAGUAAUCGCGGAUCAGCACGCCGCGGUGAAUACGUUCCCGGGCCUUGUACACACCGCCCGUCACACCACGAGAGUUUGUAACACCCGAAGUCGGUGAGGUAACCUUAUGGAG
Molecule: ribosomal RNA, 873 nt
Filed under: uncultured bacterium
Lineage: Bacteria
Description: bacterial SSU rRNA
Rfam family: Bacterial small subunit ribosomal RNA
Source: RNAcentral